GGGGAUGGGGCGGCCUGGAUCCUGGGCCCAAGCAGAUGUGCGGGAGCGCGCGCACGAGUGCGCGCAUGCGCGUGGGCCAGGGCCAGAGCCCGGUGAGGGACACAGCUGAGGCUGCGGCGGUGCUGUGAGUUGGCUCCCAGACCGCCUGCCGCCCCAAGCCCCCAAGUGUCUGGGCCAGCCAGGGACUGACGCCCACCUCAGCCCCCGACCGGGGACAUGCUGCUGCCUGGCGCCUGCGACUCGGUAGCCAUGGCAUUGGCGGUAGGGGUAGCGGUAGUGCUCACGGGGCGCUCGCGGGAGCGUGGGCGGAGCCCGCGUGGAGAAGACUGGGAGCCAUAAGCCUCCAGCCUCGGAGGGUGGCGGCCCUGCUGCUCCUGCUGCUCCUGGAGCCAGAGAUCAGGGCGCGGGACGCGCUUCCCAGGCGCCUCUGUCUUUGGCCGCGCUGGUGGAGUGCCAGCACUGGCUGGAGCAGAGCACGAUGCGAUGCCCCCCCGGCGCCCCGGAAAGACCAUCUGGGAGAAGCCUAAAGGUGGAGCAGCUGAGACCCACAGCCUCCCUCCAGGACCUGCCUCAGUCGCGGUGCUGCCAAGAUGCACAGUGGCUCUGAGGGGAUGAAGACUUGGCAGUCUAGUCAGCGACUAACCUGGAUGCGGCAGGUUCCUGAAAGUACCACAUGAUCUCUGCUUGUUUCCCUCCUCUCUUCCUUUGCCAUUUGAAUACCCACCAUACAUGAAGAGGCUCAGGUGAUUGAUGUCUGAGAACAGGAUGCUGACUGUUCCCUCAGAUGCACAGUGGCUCUGAGGGGAUGAAGACUUGGCAGUCUAGUCAGCGACUAACCUGGAUGCGGCAGGUUCCUGAAAGUACCACAUGAUCUCUGCUUGUUUCCCUCCUCUCUUCCUUUGCCAUUUGAAUACCCACCAUACAUGAAGAGGCUCAGGUGAUUGAUGUCUGAGAACAGGAUGCUGACUGUUCCCUCAGAUGCACAGUGGCUCUGAGGGGAUGAAGACUUGGCAGUCUAGUCAGCGACUAACCUGGAUGCGGCAGGUUCCUGAAAGUACCACAUGAUCUCUGCUUGUUUCCCUCCUCUCUUCCUUUGCCAUUUGAAUACCCACCAUACAUGAAGAGGCUCAGGUGAUUGAUGUCUGAGAACAGGAUGCUGACUGUUCCCUCAGAUGCACAGUGGCUCUGAGGGGAUGAAGACUUGGCAGUCUAGUCAGCGACUAACCUGGAUGCGGCAGGUUCCUGAAAGUACCACAUGAUCUCUGCUUGUUUCCCUCCUCUCUUCCUUUGCCAUUUGAACACCCACCAUACAUGAAGAGGCUCAGGUGAUUGAUGUCUGAGAACAGGAUGCUGACUGUUCCCUCAGGUAAGAGUUAAGUGCCAGACCUGGGCAAACCAUUUUGAGUACCUCCUAGCUCAUGUAUUUUAAUUGCCUCUUUGUGGAGUGUAAACCUCUUAGACCUUAACCUAGAGGUCCAUGGUGCAGAAAAGCUUAGCAGAUGGAGGGGAAAAUGGAAACAGAGUUGGAUAUAGAUGUUAGCCUCAGGGGAAAGAAUGUGGUUUGAGUUGGGAAAUGAGGAGGUGGGUAAAGGGAAGGUGCAGAUAUGUAUCGGGUGGCCCUCCUGCCGUCUCACUCCCUCUCUCUCCAUAGUAAAGAAACAUGAACAAAUAGAACGUUCCCCAGGGCAGGUGCUGGCCCCGGUCACAGCCAUUCAUUCGCUUUGUAAUUAACUUGACGGUGUUACUUUAGCAUUAUUGAAUAUUUGAGUAUUAUUAUUUGAGGAGCACUGGGUUCAUGUACAGCCACCUCCCUGGGAAACCAGCUUUGCAAAAGCUUCCUGGGUCUCUUCAGGGGUGAAAGGGAGGUGAUCACCUUGGGAGGAGACACCUGCCAGUCCCUGUCCCACUGGCCUGGUCUCUGGAGCCCUCUGCCUGACUCCCGGCUGUCAGGCUGGCGGGCAGUCGGUCAGAGCAUCUGGUGGGCACA
Long non-coding RNA from Felis catus (domestic cat), 1987 nucleotides. RefSeq lists it as uncharacterized. The transcript has 5 exons. NCBI's taxonomy places the organism in Eukaryota, Metazoa, Chordata, Mammalia, Carnivora, Felidae. The record is from RefSeq and is a predicted model, not a curated record.